UUGAGAAUGGGUAUCAAAAGGUAGCUAGCUAAUGAUGCCCCCUGGAUUAGCCAUUCAUCCAUAGAACGUCAGCUUGUAAAUAACUAUUUAUUUUGUAUUUUUGUGUAGAGAACAACUGGAACAUUUUGUCAUGGUGUGGUGCUCAGUACUUGGAUGUGCAAACUACAAGCAAGCACAGGCUGUUGGGGUAACGUUUCAUUGGUUACCUUACUAAGAAGUCAAGCAGAGAGUCCAAUUCCAUCAACAUCUAUAGCAGCAUAAACAUCGAGCUAAGCACCAGGACCCUUUGCUAAAUCUUUCCAUGACUCCAUGAUGAGCAAAUAAAUAUACUGGAGGUUAUGAGAAUCUACCAUCUGAAGCUGAAGCAAUAUUCCUUGACCCAAGGACUGUACUUGAAAUGAUACAAGAUCAGUCCUUAUCAACCAGUGGAACGGAAGAAGAAUUCCUCACUACCAGCAGACUGUCCGAACAUAAUUUCUAAUAGUUAUCUAUGUGGGUUUGAUACCAGUGUGGAAGAGCUGGUCACUUUUAAAAUACUUGCUAAUUGGACGAUUUAAUAUUAUUGUCUUCCUGCUUAUACAUGAUGUGGUAGGAAUCGUAAGCGACAUCAUCAUUACACAUGUCAAUACUUAUUUUAUAUAACUUUGUUUGAAAUCUAUUUCUUAUUGUAAAGCAAGUAGAAUAUGCCCUUUGUGUUUUACAGAAAUGCAAGGUGUUUAAUGUGAAUGAUUUUAUGCUUACUGCUAAUGUUUUUUUAUACUUUCUAUUUUUUCAUGUUUUCUAUUGUUUUCUAAAAAUACAUUUAAAGUAUAUUUAUUUUAAAAAUGGUCUAGGGGGGAGUGUAAGAAUAUUUAGAAGAUAAAUACACAAUGCAGAGGACUAAAAGCCAAUAGAGUACUAACGGUCAAGAGGACUAAAAGCCAAUCGAGUACUAACGGUCAAGAGGACUAAAAGCCAAUAGAGUACUAACGGUCAAGAGGACUAAAAGCCAAUAGAGUACUUACGGUCAAGAGGACUAAAAGCCAAUCGAGUACUAACGGUCAAGAGGACUAAAAGCCAAUCGCGUACUAACGGUCAAGAGGACUAAAAGCCAAUAGAGUACUUACGGUCAAGAGGACUAAAAGCCAAUAGAGUACUAACGGUCAAGAGGACUAAAAGCCAAUCGAGUACUAACGGUCAAGAGGACUAAAAGCCAAUAGAGUACUAACGGUCAAGAGGACUAAAAGCCAAUAGAGUACUUAUGGUCAAGAGGACUAAAAGCCAAUCGAGUACUAACGGUCAAGAGGACUAAAAGCCAAUCGAGUACUAACGGUCAAGAGGACUAAAAGCCAAUAGAGUACUAACGGUCAAGAGGACUAAAAGCCAAUCGAGUACUAACGGUCAAGAGGACUAAAAGCCAAUAGAGUACUAACGGUCAAGAGGACUAAAAUCCAAUAGAGUACUUACGGUCAAGAGGACUAAAAGCCAAUAGAGUACUAACGAUCAAUGGAAAUUGUUUUUUUUUUCUGUAGUAGGGGAUUAAUGAUCAAUGGGUGUCACGAGAAUUUUCAAUCCCAAUGAUAAUAACAAUCAAUCAAUAGCUUUGACAAAAUCCCCGAGGUUUAUAAGACCAUGGGUUUAAUAAUAAUUAGUCAAAGACUCAGCUUAAGCAAAAGGUUAGUACAGUUUAUACACGAGAACGUUCUAAACUCAAUAAUAGAAAAACAUCAAUUUUAUUGCUGCGCACAUACUUCCACACACAAACAGUAGGUAUCCUACGCACAUACUGUAUCACUACCCAGCCGACAAAGAUUAGGGAGACCUUGAGACGUACUCCCUGUCCUCCCAAAUCUCUAGUCAGGUCGGUACCGAAUUUUGCUCAGACAGUCUGUGUUUAAGAUACGAUAAAGACAUAUUGUACAGAUACAUUGUUUUACCCUAAUUCUGACUAAAACUACACUCACAGAUAUAUAAUUUUACUGACUAAAACUACACACAUCAUUAGUGUCACGUUCUGACCUUUAUUUCCUUUGUUUUGUAUUCAUUAUUUAGUAUGGUCAGGGCGUGAGUUGGGGUGGGCAGUCUAUGUUUGAUUUUCUAUGAUUUGGGGAUUUCUAUGUUUCGGCCUAGUAUGGUUCUCAAUCAGAGGCAGGUGUCAUUAGUUGUCUCUGAUUGAGAAUCAUACUUAGGUAGCCUGGGUUGCACUGUUUGUUUGUGGGUGAUUGUCUAUGUUGAUUGCUUGUUUCAGCACAGUUCGCAUUAGCGUCACGGUUGUUAUUUCGUUUAUUGUUUUUGUAUAGUGUUUCAGUGUUUUCUUUAUUAAAAUUCAUGAUGAACACAUA
Molecule: long non-coding RNA, 2321 nt
Organism: Oncorhynchus kisutch (coho salmon)
Lineage: Eukaryota; Metazoa; Chordata; Actinopteri; Salmoniformes; Salmonidae
Exons: 3
Source: RefSeq, a predicted model, not a curated record